Molecule: ribosomal RNA, 113 nt
Filed under: Muiribacterium halophilum (SeqCode)
Lineage: Bacteria; Candidatus Muiribacteriota; Muiribacteriia (SeqCode); Muiribacteriaceae (SeqCode)
Source: RNAcentral
CCAGGUGGCAAAUCGUUGGGGAAACACCUGAUCUCAUCUCGAACUCAGUAGUUAAGCCCAACAGAGCCGAUGGUACUGCGUCUAGCGCGUGGGAGAGUAGGUCGUUGCCUGGC